This 26-nucleotide non-coding RNA is filed under the name Homo sapiens (human). The record is from RNAcentral. Lineage: Eukaryota; Metazoa; Chordata; Mammalia; Primates; Hominidae.
UCACGUGAUUACAGGAUAGGCGGGCC